Molecule: ribosomal RNA, 460 nt
Filed under: uncultured bacterium
Lineage: Bacteria
Description: partial 16S ribosomal RNA
Rfam family: Bacterial small subunit ribosomal RNA
Source: RNAcentral
CCUACGGGAGGCUGCAGUGAGGAAUAUUGGUCAAUGGGCGCGAGCCUGAACCAGCCAAGUCGCGUGAGGGAAGACGGUCCUAUGGAUUGUAAACCUCUUUUAUAAAGGAAUAAAACGAGGCACGUGUGCCUUUUUGCAUGUACUUUAUGAAUAAGGAUCGGCUAACUCCGUGCCAGCAGCCGCGGUAAUACGGAGGAUCCGAGCAUUAUCCGGAUUUAUUGGGUUUAAAGGGAGCGUAGAUGGGUUGUUAAGUCAGUUGUGAAAGUUUGCAGCUCAACCGUAAAAUUGCAAUUGAUACUGGCAGUCUUGAGUACAGUUGAGGUAGGCGGAAUGCGUGGUGUAGCGGUGAAAUGCUUAGAGAUCACGAAGAACCCCGAUUGCGAAGGCAGCUUACUAAACUGUGACUGACAUUGAUGCUCGAAAGUGUGGGUAUCAAACAGGAUUAGAUACCCCAGUAGUC